CAGGAAGUGACAUCAGAUUGGAGGAGCAGUUAGUGACAGUGUUUCACCUCACAUCAUGUCUGCUCCAACUAAACAGAGUUAUCUUCAGGUUCAAUAGAGGACACAUCAGAAUCAUCAUAGAAAUGUCUCUGGGCUCUGUGGUCAUUCUUUACUCACUUUAUUGAAGUACUGUAUAUGUCCUUCUUACAAUGCACCCUAGUCGUGGAGCAACUGGAAAUGAAUGGUAGAACAAAGUGUCUCUGUCUGAAUUUAAGUCUAUAAUUGAUGCAUAGAUUGUGGACAAAUGUAAUUGCUUUUAAGUUUUGCUAAUAUAUUUUUGUCUUAGUGUGUUGUUGUUGUCAAAUGUCAUUGCAGUGGCAGGGCAGAAAUUGGACGAGGAGAUAUCAUGGAUUAGGACAGAGCGAGAGCCUGUCUCCUUCAGCUGCAAAGACAAUGAUCAGUGUACAACGCAUGUCUCCUGGUACCAGAAGAAGGAGGGAGAACAUUUUACCUUGAUUCUUGAGCUGUGACUGAAUCAAGCUGUGAAUUAAUGAAAAAGAAAGUGUUCUGCACCACAGGAAGUGACAUUGUCAGAGGAACUGUUUGAGACGACACACUCCAGCUGGUUUUUCACCUCUCAUCUUCAUAAUCGACUCUAUGAUCCAAACCAUACUUCAGUAAAGAUCUGUUAAAUCAGUCUGAUGUUCAGUGCUUUGGAGCUUUUCAUUUCCCCAAAUCUUAAGCACAUAUUCACUGAACAUGGACUGUGGUAUAACAAUAUUCUCUCUUUUUCUGGUGGCUGCUUCAGGACAACGGCUGCAACAGGACCAGAUAUCAAAGACUAGGAGAGAGAAACAGAGUGUCUCCUUCGGCUGCAAAGUUACUGGUUCGUGCUUUGGUAACCUGGUCCACUGGUACCAGAAGAGAGAGGGUGAACCCUUUUCUUGGAUUCUAUACUUUGAUUUCGAUGACAAUUCUGACAGCCGUGCUACCACUCAUCCUCAGAGAGCAGAUUUCUCUGUUAGGGGGGAGUCUGACUCCAGUAAUCUUAUGAUCAAGUCCGUUAAAGUGUCCCAUUCUGCCACCUACUACUGUGCCUGCUGGGUCUCGGGAACCCACAGUGAGAACUGAUCCACACAGCCUGUACAAAAACUCUGUGGUUUUAAUCAAGCUUUGUAUUCAUGAAAAGGUUCCUUACCACAGUAAGUGACAUAAGAGUUUUGAGUGUAGCGUCUUCUUCAAAUCCAAAGUGAAAUGCAAUUAUAAAAGGAAUUAUAAAUAAAUGAACAAGAUGUCUUGCCAAUGAGCAAACAGUGUCUAAACUGCAUCUUCUUGAUGUGUCCUGCAUACGGACAUUGUGUGCAGAGGUUGGACAGAGGAUUGUGUGCUUUUUAGGUAUAUAUGGGUAUAACAGUCAGAAUAACCUAUUUACAUAAGUAUUCAGACGUUUGCUAUGAGACUCAAAAUUGAGCUCAGGUGCAUCC
Molecule: long non-coding RNA, 1463 nt
Filed under: Salmo salar (Atlantic salmon)
Lineage: Eukaryota; Metazoa; Chordata; Actinopteri; Salmoniformes; Salmonidae
Description: lncRNA (ENSSSAG00000111858.1)
Source: RNAcentral